This 1513-nucleotide ribosomal RNA is filed under the name uncultured Desulfurivibrio sp. Its description in RNAcentral is "partial 16S ribosomal RNA". It matches the Rfam family "Bacterial small subunit ribosomal RNA". Lineage: Bacteria; Pseudomonadati; Thermodesulfobacteriota; Desulfobulbia; Desulfobulbales; Desulfobulbaceae. The record is from RNAcentral.
AGAGUUUGAUCAUGGCUCAGAUUGAACGCUGGCGGCGUGCUUAACACAUGCAAGUCGAACGAGAAAGGGACUUCGGUCCUGAGUAGAGUGGCGCACGGGUGAGUAACGCGUAGGUAAUCUACCUCUGCAUCUGGGAUAACACUUCGAAAGGGGUGCUAAUACCGGAUACACUUAUCAAUCGCAAGGUUGAUAAGGAAAGGAGACCUCUCCUUGGAAGUUUCUGUGUAGAGAUGAGCCUGCGUCCCAUUAGCUAGUUGGCAGGGUAAUGGCCUACCAAGGCGACGAUGGGUAGCGGGUCUGAGAGGAUGAUCCGCCACACUGGAACUGAAACACGGACCAGACUCCUACGGGAGGCAGCAGUGAGGAAUAUUGGACAAUGGGCGCAAGCCUGAUCCAGCGACGCCGCGUGAGUGAUGAAGGCCUUUGGGUCGUAAAGCUCUGUCAGCAGGGAAGAACGGCCGUGUGGUUAAUACCCAUGCGGAUUGACGGUACCUGCAGAGGAAGCACCGGCUAACUCCGUGCCAGCAGCCGCGGUAAUACGGAGGGUGCGAGCGUUAAUCGGAAUUACUGGGCGUAAAGGGCGCGUAGGCGGCUGAUCAAGUCAGAUGUGAAAGCCCACGGCUUAACCGUGUGAAGUGCAUCUGAAACUGGUCGGCUUGAGUAUCGGAGAGGAAAGUGGAAUUCCCGGUGUAGAGGUGAAAUUCGUAGAUAUCGGGAGGAAUACCGGUGGCGAAGGCGACUUUCUGGACGAAUACUGGCGCUGAGGCGCGAAAGCGUGGGUAGCAAACAGGAUUAGAUACCCUGGUAGUUCACGCCCUAAACGAUGUCAACUAGUUGUUGGGGAGGGAGACCUCCUUAGUAACGCAGCUAACGCGUGAAGUUGACCGCCUGGGGAGUACGGUCGCAAGAUUAAAACUCAAAGGAAUUGACGGGGGCCCGCACAAGCGGUGGAUUAUGUGGAUUAAUUCGAUGCAACGCGAAAAACCUUACCUACCCUUGACAUGUACGGAACUUGCCAGAGAUGGCUUGGUGCUCGAAAGAGAGCCGUAACACAGGUGCUGCAUGGCUGUCGUCAGCUCGUGUCGUGAGAUGUUGGGUUAAGUCCCGCAACGAGCGCAACCCUUGCCAUUAGUUGCUACAUUUAGUUGAGCACUCUAAUGGGACUGCCGGUGACAAACCGGAGGAAGGUGGGGAUGACGUCAAGUCCUCAUGGCCCUUAUGGGUAGGGCUUCACACGUAAUACAAUGGUCGGUACAGAGGGUUGCCAACCCGCGAGGGGGAGCCAAUCCCAGAAAGCCGAUCGUAGUCCGGAUCGGAGUCUGCAACUCGACUCCGUGAAGUCGGAAUCGCUAGUAAUCGCGGAUCAGCAUGUCGCGGUGAAUACGUUCCCGGGCCUUGUACACACCGCCCGUCACACCAUGGGAGUGGGUAUUACCAGAAGCAGGUAGCUUAACCUUCGGGAGGGCGCUUGCCACGGUAGGAUUCAUGACUGGGGUGAAGUCGUAACAAGGUA